This 450-nucleotide ribosomal RNA is filed under the name uncultured bacterium. RNAcentral's name for it is "bacterial SSU rRNA". It matches the Rfam family "Bacterial small subunit ribosomal RNA", at positions 354 to 796 of the family's 1533-position model. The record is from RNAcentral.
GUGGGGAAUAUUGGACAAUGGGCGAAAGCCUGAUCCAGCCAUGCCGCGUGUGUGAAGAAGGUCUUCGGAUUGUAAAGCACUUUAAGUUGGGAGGAAGGGCAGUAAGUUAAUACCUUGCUGUUUUGACGUUACCGACAGAAUAAGCACCGGCUAACUUCGUGCCAGCAGCCGCGGUAAUACGAAGGGUGCAAGCGUUAAUCGGAAUUACUGGGCGUAAAGCGCGCGUAGGUGGUUUUGUAAGUUGGAGGUGAAAUCCCCGGGCUCAACCUGGGAACUGCCUCCAAAACUGCAUGACUAGAGUACGGUAGAGGGUAGUGGAAUUUCCUGUGUAGCGGUGAAAUGCGUAGAUAUAGGAAGGAACACCAGUGGCGAAGGCGACUACCUGGACUGAUACUGACACUGAGGCGCGAAAGCGUUGGGAGCAAACAGGAUUAGAUACCCGGGUAGUCC